GUGUCAUAAGAAAGACUGGUUGCAGGACAAGUGUCUGGAGAAAGCAUUAUUUGUAAUGCAAGUCUGGGAGAAGAGAAUAAUAGCCAAUGUGGAAAAGACAUAAAUCACCAUCUGGUUCCUCCUUUCAGAUUCCUCAUGGAAAAAAAGACUAAAGCUUCCAGAGGAACGGCAACAAAAACGAUCAUCCUUGGACCAUAGAUAAAAACCCAUUAAGGCUAAAGGAAGAGAACCUGAAAAACACCCUCUACUCCUGAGAUAAGGGCAGAAAUACAUUUUGAGCCCACGUCGUAAGAGUUUCCUACAGCUUGAUGAGGGACAGGAUCACUGAAAAGUCCCCAUUCCUGAGAACCAGAACACAACUCCUGAUUUUUCGUCUCUACACCGGAAGAACAAAACGAAAUUCAAAUCUCCUAACCUAGAUUCAAUGAACAUGCUUCUAAGAAGCUACUCCAUUUUGGAAGAACAACAGAUAUUAUCACCACUGAAAGAAAAGAUCGUUUGGAUUUGACCGAACGUUCUGUGUCUCAAUACCCAUCAUAAGGGGAAGAAGAUUCUACUACAGCUACAAAAUUCAGCCUUUGGGGUGCUGCUUUGUUGGAGGUUAUACCAAGAUACUCACUCAUUUCCUGGAAGGAUCCCUAAAUACAGAAAGCUAGACGGCUUUUAAGUUUUUCUAAACUCGGUAGAUUAAACAGCCACUCAACUGAUUCUUUGGAGCAGCUAUUAUGGAAAUUAAAAUGCCCUUUUAAAAACCAGAUAAGUCCCUACUAGAGCUACGUUUCAUCCCCUAUGCCAUCUUGCUUCUCUAUGCAUACACACACACACACACACACACAAAAGAAGCUUAUGGAUAAUGUUCAUUGCACUGGGAAUAUCCAAAGCAAUGAAUGGCUUUUAGAGUUGAUUAAAUGCUAAAGUGAAGCUUUUUGAUAACCAUGAGAGCUGACUAUUGUAAGUGUACUCCAGUGUCAUGAAUAUUACUGCUAAUACAUGAUAAGAUUUUUAAGGACAUAAUAAAGUGUAAUAAAGAAUAGAUCACUUUCUUCCCUUUUGAGGUCUGGAAAGAGCUAUCUUCUUUUCCUUGGGCCUUUACGAUUGAUGGCAAAAGGGAAGUCCUUUUAAAGUGAGUGACUUGGUCAGGGAGGUUACAUAAUGAGAUUAAUAGCUUAAAGGAAUGGACUGUGUAACAGGCCGUGAUGAGAUUAAAGAUAUUUUAAUAUCAAAAAGGGCUUUGUGGCUUGUUAAAGAGAAUACAAUUUAGCAUUUGAGUGCUGAGACUGACAGAAACUUUUGUUGAUUAAUAAGAAUGUAUGCCUCUUGCUGUACAUUACUUAGCCGGGGAAAUUGUGAGAACAGUACUUUAUAGUACUGACAGUGCACUAAAAUAAAAAUGCAAUAACUAGAAGGUGGAGUUAUUAGAGUGAAAUGAACUAUUGCACUUUGAACAAAUGUUUCAAAUUAUAUUUCAGUUAUUUGGUUCUUUAAAAAUUCAACUGCAUUUAUUAAAAAGUUAAUUCUAUAUAUUUAAACAAAUAUGUAUUGAAAGAUAUUGGGUUUACAAUAGCAAUGGGUUAUUUUUAAAAAUUGGGUAAUAAGCUA
RNAcentral lists this long non-coding RNA (1599 nucleotides) under Homo sapiens (human). RNAcentral describes it as "HSALNT0009413". The record is from RNAcentral. Lineage: Eukaryota; Metazoa; Chordata; Mammalia; Primates; Hominidae.